CUCAUCAAAAUCAAAAAUCUAAUUUCUUUUACAGGACCCAGAUGCUAUACAGUGGGAAAACCAGCCUGGCAACAGUGCGUAUUAAUAAAAGGACACCACAUCCUGCCAAAUUCCAGCUGCGCUAAUUGUAUUGUGUUCACAGAGCUCACAAGCUAUCAGAAAGUUGUAUGGCAACCAUCUCCGGCGCCAAAUAGAACUGGCAGACAUAGAAAUUCAGUACAAGAAGAAAAAGAUGGAAAAUCUUGCACUGGAGUCCGAAAUAAAAAAAGAGGACAAUUAGGAAACUGGACCUUGAAAUAAAAAAACUUGAGAGGGAGCUCCAAGAAGAUGACACAGCUCAAAAUAAAAAUUAGCAAUCAGUACAACCAAGUCAUCGUUAUAAGGCAUCGCCCUCUUUUGCCCACCCCCAGCACCAGGUGUGGCCACUAGCCUAUAUGAAGGCCCAAAAUUGUGUGUUCCUUUCUGCUCUGACAAUGGCAUGCCCAUUCGUGCGAGAUGUGGUUGAUGAAGAAGCACUUGUGCUGAGGAGAGCCUUCAGGCGAGAAAGGGUCUUCAGGGACCGGUUGGACCCACUGGCCUUCCCUGAUGACCAUCUAUAUGAAAGAUACAGGUUUUCUGCAGAUGGCAUCAGGU
Oncorhynchus nerka (sockeye salmon) is the source of this 633-nucleotide long non-coding RNA. RefSeq lists it as uncharacterized. Lineage: Eukaryota; Metazoa; Chordata; Actinopteri; Salmoniformes; Salmonidae. The record is from RefSeq and is a predicted model, not a curated record. The transcript is spliced from 3 exons.